RNAcentral lists this ribosomal RNA (253 nucleotides) under uncultured bacterium. RNAcentral's name for it is "partial 16S ribosomal RNA". It matches the Rfam family "Bacterial small subunit ribosomal RNA", at positions 524 to 776 of the family's 1533-position model. The record is from RNAcentral.
UACGUAGGCAGCAAACGUUGUUCGGAAUUACUGGGCGUAAAGAGUGUGUAGGCGGUUUCGUAAGUUUGGUGUGAAAUCUCCCGGCUUAACUGGGAGGGUGCGCCGAAAACUGCGAGGCUUGAGUACUGGAGAGGAGAGCGGAAUUCCUGGUGUAGCGGUGAAAUGAGUAGAUAUCAGGAGGAACACCGGUGGUGUAGACGGCUCUCUGGACAGUCACUGACGCUGAGACACGAAAGCGUGGGGAGCAAACAGG